AUGGUGCGAGUCCGCUCGCCGGAUCUCGCCCAAAAUCCGUCACAGGGUUCGAUCCCCUUUCAGGCCGAAGCAACGGCGCCGUCGAAGCCCUCCGUUGCGACGCGGCAAGUCCUGGAGGCCAUGGAGGAAGGGAACGCCAACAUCGCAAAGAUGCUCGACUCCCUCCUCACCAAGCUCGACGAGCAGACCGCCCUCCGCGACAAGCAACUGGAGGCGCAACUCUCCUUCAACAACCAGAUCGCGCAGGAGCUGCGGGGUCUUGCGCGGCAGCUCGAUCUGACGCAGGCCGACGUUGAUGCGACCCGCAAGACCGUCGACUGCUCGGCCUCACAUGCGGGAUCCGUCACCACGUUGGUACCACCACCGCCGCCGCCGCCGCCGCCGCCUCCGUCUCCGCGUCACCAGCCCCACCACGCGGAACCCCAUCGCCCCGCUUCUGCUCACGCUCGCUUGGGGGACAAUCGACCACCACUCAUCCCGGUUCCCCCUCUUGGUGCGCCCAUGGCUGGGGUCACCGCGCCGCCGCCCAGCCCCAACUACACAGAGAACUCCUACCACAAACCACCGAAACACGAUUUUCCCCGUUUCGAUGGAUCCGCACCCUACCUCUGGUUGGAUCGGUGUUUAGCGUACUUUGAGCUCUACAAGGUGGGUCAACAUGUUUGGGUGCCCACCGCUGCUCUGUACAUUGAGGGCCAGGCAGCACACUGGCUCCAGGCGUUUCGCCAGAGCCACCGCAACUUGUCAUGGGACAUGUUCGCCGCCGCCGUGCUUGAAGAAUUCGGUGCAUACGAGUUCGAGCUCACCAUGCACUGUCUCCUUCAACUACAGCAGACGGGCAGCGUCGCCGAGUAUCGCACAUUGUUUGAUGAGCUCAUGUAUCAUCUUCUGGCGCUGGAUCCCUCCAUCAACAACAAAUUCUUCAUCACCCAGUUCUGUUUGGGCUUGAAGGACGAGCUACGCGCAGCAAUUUGCUUACAAGCCCGUCGAGCAUCACCCGCGCGUCUGUGCUUGCGCGCAUUCAAGAGGAAGAGCUGGGCACGACACGCCCACGGGUCCGACCGGUUCCUCCAGGGCGCCCGCCUCCACCAACGAACGCGGCGCCGCCGCGGCAAGCGGCUGUUCCACGCGCCACCGGUGACGAAUUCGCACGGGAGCGACAGCUGCGAGAUUAUCGGCGCGCCAACAAUCUUUGCUUCAAGUGUGGGGACAAAUACUCCCGGGAGCACCGCUGCGCGCAGCCGGCACAAUUGCUCACCAUCCAUGUGGGGGAGCAUGGCGAGGUUCUCUCCGACAACGCGAUCCAUGCUCUCCAACUCUUGGACGAUCCCGAACCACCAGCGCGGCUGGCGGAGUGCUACGUGCUGUCAGCUCAGGUGCUGGACGGCUCCGAUUCGCCAAGUACCAUUUGGCUGCGUGCUCUGGUGA
This 1428-nucleotide ribosomal RNA is filed under the name Triticum aestivum (bread wheat). RNAcentral describes it as "partial small subunit ribosomal RNA". Lineage: Eukaryota; Viridiplantae; Streptophyta; Magnoliopsida; Poales; Poaceae. The record is from RNAcentral.